Molecule: ribosomal RNA, 518 nt
Filed under: Hoplostethus mediterraneus (Mediterranean slimehead)
Lineage: Eukaryota; Metazoa; Chordata; Actinopteri; Trachichthyiformes; Trachichthyidae
Description: partial 16S ribosomal RNA
Rfam family: Bacterial large subunit ribosomal RNA
Source: RNAcentral
GUCCCGCCUGCCCUGUGACUAUAUGUUUAACGGCCGCGGUAUUUUGACCGUGCGAAGGUAGCGCAAUCACUUGUCUUUUAAAUGAAGCCCUGUAUGAAUGGCACGACGAGGGCCUAGCUGUCUCCUUUUUCAGGUCAAUGAAAUUGAUCUCCCCGUGCAGAAGCGGGGAUAAUCUCAUAAGACGAGAAGACCCUAUGGAGCUUCAGACACAAGGCAGCCCACGUUAAUAACUUUCAAACAAAAACUAAAACUAAGUGGAGCCCUGCCAGAAUGUCUUUGGUUGGGGCGACCGCGGGGGAAAACAAAGCCCCCAUGUGGAAAAGGAGGACACCUCCUACAACCCAGAGCCACUGCUCUAAGUAACAGAACUUCUGACCAAUAUGAUCCGGCAACCGCCGAUCAACGGACCGAGUUACCCUAGGGAUAACAGCGCAAUCCUCUUCCAGAGCCCAUAUCGACAAGAGGGUUUACGACCUCGAUGUUGGAUCAGGACAUCCUAAUGGUGCAGCCGCUAUUAA